This 790-nucleotide long non-coding RNA is filed under the name Selaginella moellendorffii. RNAcentral describes it as "long non-coding RNA (SMOE_LNC000418)". Lineage: Eukaryota; Viridiplantae; Streptophyta; Lycopodiopsida; Selaginellales; Selaginellaceae. The record is from RNAcentral.
GCGAAAGUUCGAAUAUGCCAGAAGCAUCCAUAGCCAGACACGUGUCGGGCUUGAGAACGCGCCACGGACCCUCACACGUGGCAUCUAGUUUGCUUGUUCUCCGCGGAGUGAAAAAGAAGAGCAUCGCAAGAAGCAACCUAGGGAUUGUGUUUCUUUGUGACUAGAAUCGAUCGCGAUGAAGCAAGCACCGGGGCAGGACAAGGGGGUUUCCGUGGGGGAGGGCCUCAAGAACGCGGGCGCGACGAUGCAGGAGAACUUGGAGAAGGCGGGAGCAACGAUCUCAGCGCAGGUUAGGGUUUUUUUCUUUUCUCGCUUUGAGUUUGAUCCCGGGAUUGCAAUGCGCGAUGUAUGCAGGCCGAGAAGAUGAAAGGGGCAGGGGACGAAGAGGCGGGCAUCGCCGCGGAUUUGAGCAAGGACACGCGCCAGGCCGCCGCCGCCGACCGAGCUGAGGCCAAGAAGGCGCAGCACCACGAAGAAGCUAAGAAUCCAGACGACCAUCCAGCUCCAUUCACCAAGACACCGUUUGUCUAGAAACCCUUCAAAGAAAAUAGUUCUUGUCAUGUAUGAUCCACAUCGGUCAAAUAACCAUUGUGAACGCCGCUCAUGUGAUAACCUUCUUGAAGAGCCGCUAAGCUACAUGCUGUGCAAGAUCAGAUCCAUAGGAAAUAUGCUAACUAUAUAGGGUAUAGAUGGCUGUAGGAUGCUAAAUCUAAAACUUGCCCUUCAAUGGAUAAUCGUUAAGAGAUUCAAAUUGCACUCCAUUACCAAACUUUGAAAGCCUACUAUUGUU